This is a long non-coding RNA of Armigeres subalbatus, 413 nucleotides long. RefSeq lists it as uncharacterized. The record is from RefSeq and is a predicted model, not a curated record. The transcript has 3 exons. NCBI's taxonomy places the organism in Eukaryota, Metazoa, Arthropoda, Insecta, Diptera, Culicidae.
GUCAGUUCACAGCGGAUAUGAUGGUGAGAGUGAGUGAUAAAAUUAAAGCGAGGGAUAAACAUAUACAGAAAGGGGAAAAAGGGAAAAUAUAAACAAAUGGCCGAAGUUGAGUAAACAGAAUUAGUAGCGAAUCGAAGAAAAUUGUAUUGCAAGAAGAGAGUUGAACGGUGAAUAAAUCUAGAUUGUAUUUGAGGUAGAGUGAAUUACGUGGAGUUUGGUCAGCAGAUAACAAUUAAGUACACUCUGACGCAGGACAGUACAGUGGUGCUCAAACUAUCGAAGACAGCCCACGGACUUUUAGACGACAAUUAGACGAACGACACAGAAAGCGAGUAGAACAGGCAGACAAGUCUACGUGGACGAUUGAGACGGAAGUUAAAGGAGAAGAACAAACUAAAAUUGUGAGUAGAAAU